GACGAACGCUGGCGGCGUGCUUAACACAUGCAAGUCGAACGGAAAGGCCCUGCUUUUGUGGGGUGCUCGAGUGGCGAACGGGUGAGUAACACGUGAGUAACCUGCCCUUGACUUUGGGAUAACUUCAGGAAACUGGGGCUAAUACCGGAUAGGAGCUCCUGCUGCAUGGUGGGGGUUGGAAAGUUUCGGCGGUUGGGGAUGGACUCGCGGCUUAUCAGCUUGUUGGUGGGGUAGUGGCUUACCAAGGCUUUGACGGGUAGCCGGCCUGAGAGGGUGACCGGCGACGUGGGGGGUGGGAGGAGGCCCGGAGUGCGACGGGGGGAAGAGGUGGGGAGUGGGGGACGGGGGGGGGAAGGAUGAGGCGGCACCGCGGGGGGGGGGAGAGCGGCCUGGGGGUAGUCAGCAGGUUGCGCGGGGGAGGGGGGGGGAGAGGCAGUAGGGAGGAAAGAAGCACGAGGUAACGUCGGGCCAGCGGCGGCGGUACUGUGCGGAAGAGCAGACGGCGUAAC
This 509-nucleotide ribosomal RNA is filed under the name uncultured bacterium. RNAcentral describes it as "partial 16S ribosomal RNA". The stretch from base 20 to 332 matches the Rfam family "Bacterial small subunit ribosomal RNA", at positions 47 to 358 of the family's 1533-position model. The record is from RNAcentral.